GAGUUUGAUCCUGGCUCAGGACGAACGCUGGCGGCGUGCUCAACACAUGCAAGUCGAGCGGAAAGGCCACUUCGGUGGUACUCGAGCGGCGAACGGGUGAGUAACACGUGAGUAAUCUGCCUCUGGCUUCGGGAUAGCCACCGGAAACGGUGAUUAAUACCGGAUAUGACAUCUUCACGCAUGUGAUGGGUGUGGAAAGUUUUUUCGGCCAGGGAUGUGCUCGCGGCCUAUCAGCUUGUUGGUGGGGUAAUGGCCUACCAAGGCUUCGACGGGUAGCCGGCCUGAGAGGGUGACCGGCCACACUGGGACUGAGACACGGCCCAGACUCCUACGGGAGGCAGCAGUGGGGAAUAUUGGACAAUGGGCGGAAGCCUGAUCCAGCAACGCCGCGUGAGGGAUGACGGCCUUCGGGUUGUAAACCUCUUUCAGCACAGACGAAGCGCAAGUGACGGUAUGUGCAGAAGAAGGACCGGCCAACUACGUGCCAGCAGCCGCGGUAAUACGUAGGGUCCGAGCGUUGUCCGGAAUUAUUGGGCGUAAAGGGCUCGUAGGCGGUUUGUCGCGUCGGGAGUGAAAACACCGGGCUUAACUCGGUGCUUGCUUUCGAUACGGGCAGACUAGAGGCAUUCAGGGGAGAACGGAAUUCCUGGUGUAGCGGUGAAAUGCGCAGAUAUCAGGAGGAACACCGGUGGCGAAGGCGGUUCUCUGGGAAUGUCCUGACGCUGAGGAGCGAAAGUGUGGGGAGCGAACAGG
RNAcentral lists this ribosomal RNA (753 nucleotides) under uncultured bacterium. RNAcentral describes it as "bacterial SSU rRNA". It matches the Rfam family "Bacterial small subunit ribosomal RNA", at positions 9 to 776 of the family's 1533-position model. The record is from RNAcentral.